GCAUCUACCGAUUGAAUGGAGAGGUAAAAUCUCCGGACUAUGACGCGUUGGGGUCAAACCUAAUGCAGUCGUGGGAAGUGGAUUAAACCUUUCCACUUAGAGGAAGAUGAAGUCGUAACAAGGUUUCCGUAGGUGAACCUGCAGAAGGAUCAAGAUCGGAAGAGCACAGGUCUGAACCCAAGUAACGUGGCCUCAGCUCGCAUGCCGUCUUCUGCUUGAAAAAAAAAACAACACCUGCCCCCUCCGUAUUACCGCGUCUGCUUGCACGUAGUUACUC
RNAcentral lists this unclassified non-coding RNA (277 nucleotides) under sea anemone metagenome. RNAcentral describes it as "partial contains small subunit ribosomal RNA and internal transcribed spacer 1". The stretch from base 1 to 155 matches the Rfam family "Eukaryotic small subunit ribosomal RNA", at positions 1678 to 1831 of the family's 1831-position model. The record is from RNAcentral.